This 84-nucleotide transfer RNA is filed under the name Roseobacter cerasinus. RNAcentral describes it as "tRNA-Leu". It matches the Rfam family "tRNA". Rfam says of the family: Transfer RNA (tRNA) molecules are approximately 80 nucleotides in length. Their secondary structure includes four short double-helical elements and three loops (D, anti-codon, and T loops). Lineage: Bacteria; Pseudomonadati; Pseudomonadota; Alphaproteobacteria; Rhodobacterales; Roseobacteraceae. The record is from RNAcentral.
GCAGGCGUGGCGAAAUGGUAGACGCGCUGGUUUUAGGUACCAGUUCCGCAAGGAGUGUGGGUUCAAGUCCCUCCGCCUGCACCA